ACAACCCCCUGCUCUGUGGCAGAACCUCGUAGCCCAGUAGUUCGGCUCCAGCCUCAGGCUCUUUUCAUGACUGAGCUAGGCACAGAGGAAUUUAGGACCUUCUCACACGCUUGAUAACUUGUUUAUUAUCAUAAGUCAGUGGCAGUGUUUCGUUCUUUUCUGUUCUCACGGGAGGCUCCUCCUUCCCAGAAUGCUGCCUGGCAUAUCGCAGAGCUAGGGGCAGCCAGCGAUCCUGCAGUCCUGACCGCGCCCGCUGCCUCUUUUCAUGUGGCCCUCCAGCAAAGACGUUUUCUCAUUUUUAAGUGCGGGGGCGGGGCGGGAAUCAAAGGACUAAUUUUUCGUGACUUGUGAAGAUUAUAUAUGAAGUUAAAGUGAUCUGGGCGCCCAUUUCCCCGACGUCGCCGGCCCACAGAAAACCCCUCCGCUGCCUACGUGGCCGCAGGCGCCUGGAGGCCGUGUUGGGAGCUGGAAGGAGGGCAGGGAAGGCAGAUGCCAGCGCUGGCCUCGGAGUGGCCACGGCCCACAGGGUGGAGUUGGGCACUGACAUCAGGUGCACCCGAACACUCCCCACGCUGGAAUCCGCCCACGCAGCUAUGUCCCCGUCAGACGGUUCCGGCACCUGAUUCGUCUCCGUGUUGGCGUCUGUCGACUGGUUUUCCUCCUCCAGGGUAUGGAUUUCCUGGUGUGACGGUAAUUUCAGAAACUGUAAUGGACGUAGUCUGGAGAGUGUGCUGAGAGAUCCGAGCCCCGUUUAAAGCCUCCGUUUGAGCAGUCACUUGGUUAGGGGCAGCACGUCCCGGCCCACUUUUGUGGGUUGUGGCUACAUGAGAAGUCGGUUUUCAGGGCCUUUUCACUUCUGUUCAUCUGUUACCACCGCAGCUUCCACUUCGUUCUGCUGGUGCUCCAUUGUCUAGGCUGCCCAGAACCGGUGGGGGCCUCUGGGAAAGGACGGACUGACCCACGGACGGAGAAUGCUUCCUGAGACCCGGUGCCAGCAAGGUUCCCACUCAGUCUCUGCCAGUCCCCCUGUGGGGGGCAGUCGGCAGAGCUGCGGGCCCGGGGGUGUGUGGGGAGACACUCGGCCCGGGCUGCCUUGCACUGCGGGGUGGAGGAGGGGCGCCCCGGGCUGCCGGCUGGUUUUCCUAGUCCUGGGUCUGGCCAGCCUACCGUCCUACCCCACCGUUCAGACACCUACACUUGGCUGCUGUAUUAUUUUUAAAUUUGUAUUUAUUGGGUUGGUCAAAAAGUUCCUUGACUUUUUUUCUGUAAAAUAAAAGUCACUUUUUAAAUUUUCA
Artibeus jamaicensis (Jamaican fruit-eating bat) is the source of this 1295-nucleotide long non-coding RNA. RefSeq lists it as uncharacterized. The transcript has 2 exons. The record is from RefSeq and is a predicted model, not a curated record. NCBI's taxonomy places the organism in Eukaryota, Metazoa, Chordata, Mammalia, Chiroptera, Phyllostomidae.